AGUUUGAUCAUGGCUCAGAUUGAACGCUGGCGGCAGGCCUAACACAUGCAAGUCGAGCGGAUGAAGGGAGCUUGCUCCCUGAUUCAGCGGCGGACGGGUGAGUAAUGCCUAGGAAUCUGCCUAUUAGUGGGGGACAACGUUUCGAAAGGAACGCUAAUACCGCAUACGUCCUACGGGAGAAAGCAGGGGACCUUCGGGCCUUGCGCUAAUAGAUGAGCCUAGGUCGGAUUAGCUAGUUGGUGAGGUAAUGGCUCACCAAGGCGACGAUCCGUAACUGGUCUGAGAGGAUGAUCAGUCACACUGGAACUGAGACACGGUCCAGACUCCUACGGGAGGCAGCAGUGGGGAAUAUUGGACAAUGGGCGAAAGCCUGAUCCAGCCAUGCCGCGUGUGUGAAGAAGGUCUUCGGAUUGUAAAGCACUUUAAGUUGGGAGGAAGGGCAUUAACCUAAUACGUUAGUGUUUUGACGUUACCGACAGAAUAAGCACCGGCUAACUCUGUGCCAGC
Molecule: ribosomal RNA, 507 nt
Filed under: Pseudomonas agarici
Lineage: Bacteria; Pseudomonadati; Pseudomonadota; Gammaproteobacteria; Pseudomonadales; Pseudomonadaceae
Description: bacterial SSU rRNA
Rfam family: Bacterial small subunit ribosomal RNA
Source: RNAcentral